AAAGAAAGGCAAGAUUGAUGGCUGAAGCAGGGUUUGCAGAUAUGUAUGCCAUUCAAACGAUGAAGCUGGGAAGAAACCGCAUUCAGAUCAUGACUAAUGGACCCACUGUGAGUUUUCUGUCGGCCUUCCUCUAUCGAUAAGAACAUGCGGGCAACGUCAGCAGAUGGAGCCAGCUGCCUCAAUACAGCUGAUGCUGCUUCCCUGAAAGACUCUGCCAUCUGCUGUUGAAAUGGCGAAAACACACUGAACCUGCAAUUCAUCUCAACAAAUUGAACUCUUCGCUGGUACAACUAUGUUAUCCACUAAGAUCAGAUGAGACUGGCAUCAGUGUUAUUUUGGUGAUGGCAGUAGUCCAUUUUUUUUUGGAAUAAUUUUGCCCAUAAUCUGGGCCAUAUUUUAUUGCAAGACAAUUCUGUAUUUCCCAAGAAAACCUUUAAUAAUUUUUUUAAAAAGAGACAAUCCCAUAUUUCCAUAAAUAUUUUACCUGCCAUUCAAUUUGCUCAAAUUUACAAGGCAGGAAAUUACAGCCAAGGGUUGUAGAACUUGAAGUCUCCCCCCCCCCCAUUGUUAUAGUUUAUAGACCUUGUUUACAGAAAUCAAACGUAGAUUGAUCAAAGCAGAGUCUGCCAGAAUGGCUAAGUGGUAUGAAAUACUUUGCUGUAGGAUGCCACAGUCUUAAAUACAGUCUAUGCAUCUUAGACCAUGGGUAGACAAACCAAGGCCCGGGCCCAGAUCUGGCCCAAUUGCCUUCUGGAUUCAGCCCGUGGACGGUCCAGGAAUCGCUGCGCAGAUUGGCGUGGGGAUUCUGAUCAUUCGGGCUUCGCCAUUCCCCCCCUCCCUUUCACACACUGCGGCAGCACCUCCUCUCUCCCUCCUCCUGGCUUCUCCCCGCCCUGUCUAGAGGAGGAAGGGGGCUGGGCUUUGUUGAGCCUUAGUUUGCUAAGCACCAUUUUAAGCAGCCCCUCUCUGGAGCCAGACCUUUCGCGCCACUCAUCAUCCCUCCGCAGGGACGUCACUCGCAGGGCACAUGUUAGCAGCCAUCGGGGCUUGUCCGGUGCUGUGGAGAAGAGAAGGGAGAGUCAAUGGGGGGAUUUCCCCCCAAAAAAUAUAGUCUGCCCCCCCACAUGGUCUGAAGGAAAGUGGACCGGCCCCCUGUGGGAAAAAUUUGCUGACCCCUGUCUUAGACAAUACAUUUUUUAUAAACAUAAUGGAGAAACCAAUGGCUUUAUUAAAGAAUGAGAGGUAUUGGGGGAAGGGACGCAAGAGAGGUAUGGGAGACUCGGGUUUCACCGGUUUGUUUCCACCUCCUUGUUUUGCAUACUCACACAGUUUUCAGCUAAACAUUUUUUUAGAUGAAAUCAUCAAACACAAAACCUCUUUUUUUCUUUCUCAUAUAAACCACAUUACCUGCCCAUCAGUAAAGAAAAGCAUACUGGGGAAUUCAAAUGGAAGUAAACACAGAGGGUAUAAAUUCUCUAAGCACAUUGUUCUGUUUAACUAUUAUUAAGAGUUUGGGUUUUUUUUAAAAAAGCAUGUUUAUUAGUAAUGAAAUCAAAAUUGCUAGGCAUCCAAACCUAAAUGAAAAGAGCUAUCUGUAAAACUGGCUAGAAAGCAAACAAUCUUCAUACUUAAGACGGUAGGAGGAGAUAGGUCAAUUACCAGUACAUGUUGGAGGGUAUGGAAUAAAAGUAAAGAUAAAGGGACCCCUGACUGUUUGGUCCAGUCGUGGACGACUCUGGGGUUGCAGCACUCAUCUCGCUUUACUGGCUGAGGGAGUCGGCAUUUGUCUGCAGACAGCUUCCAGGUCAUGUGGCCAGCAUGACAAAGCCGCUUCUGGUGAAUCAGAGCAGCGCACGGAAAUGCAGUUUACCUUCCCACCAGAGUGGUACCUAUUUAUCUACUUGCACUUGACGUGCUUUCAAACUGCUAGGUUGGCAGGAGCAGGGACCGAGCAAUGGGAGCGCACCCCAUUGCGGGGA
Molecule: long non-coding RNA, 1979 nt
Organism: Zootoca vivipara (common lizard)
Lineage: Eukaryota; Metazoa; Chordata; Lepidosauria; Squamata; Lacertidae
Source: RefSeq, a predicted model, not a curated record